GAAAUUGACAGAAGAGAGUGAGCACACAGAGGGACUUGGUAUAGCUCUAUACUAUUGCUUUUGCGUGCUCAUUUCUCUUUCUGUCAGUUUC
This 91-nucleotide microRNA precursor is filed under the name Ammopiptanthus mongolicus. Its description in RNAcentral is "precursor microRNA". It matches the Rfam family "mir-156 microRNA precursor family". Rfam says of the family: This family represents the plant microRNA (miRNA) precursor mir-156. Animal miRNAs are transcribed as ~70nt precursors and subsequently processed by the Dicer enzyme to give a ~22nt product. In plants the precursor sequences may be longer, and the carpel factory (caf) enzyme appears to be involved in processing. Lineage: Eukaryota; Viridiplantae; Streptophyta; Magnoliopsida; Fabales; Fabaceae. The record is from RNAcentral.